RNAcentral lists this ribosomal RNA (468 nucleotides) under uncultured bacterium. RNAcentral's name for it is "partial 16S ribosomal RNA". It matches the Rfam family "Bacterial small subunit ribosomal RNA", at positions 28 to 507 of the family's 1533-position model. The record is from RNAcentral.
GACGAACGCUGGCGGCGUGCUUAAUACAUGCAAGUCGAACGGAAAGGCCCUGCUGUUGUGGGGUGCUCGAGUGGCGAACGAGUGAGUAACACGUGAGUAACCUGCCCUUGACUUUGGGAUAACUUCAGGAAACUGGGGCUAAUAACGGCUAGGAGCUCCCGCUGAAUGGUGGGGGUUGGAAAGUUUCGGCGGUUGGGGAUGGACUUGCGGCUUAUCGGCUUAUUGGUGGGGUAGUGGCUUACCAAGGCUUUGACGGGUAGCCGGCCUGUGAGGGUGACCGGCCACAUUGGGACUGAGAGACGGCCCAGACUCCUACGUGAGGCAGCAGUGGGGAAUAUUGCACAAUGGGCGGAAGCCUGAUGCAGCAACUCCGCGUGCGGGAUGACGGCCUUCGGGUUGUAAACCGCUUUCGCCUGUGACGAAGCGUGAGUGACGGUAAUGGGUAAAGAAGCACCGGCUAACUACGUG